AUACAUGCAAGUCGAGCGAACAGAUAAGGAGCUUGCUCCUUUGACGUUAGCGGCGGACGGGUGAGUAACACGUGGAUAACCUACCUAUAAGACUGGGAUAACUUCGGGAAACCGGAGCUAAUACCGGAUAACAUAUUGAACCGCAUGGUUCAAUAGUGAAAGGCGGCUUUGCUGUCACUUAUAGAUGGAUCCGCGCCGUAUUAGCUAGUUGGUAAGGUAACGGCUUACCAAGGCAACGAUACGUAGCCGACCUGAGAGGGUGAUCGGCCACACUGGAACUGAGACACGGUCCAGACUCCUACGGGAGGCAGCAGUAGGGAAUCUUCCGCAAUGGGCGAAAGCCUGACGGAGCAACGCCGCGUGAGUGAUGAAGGUCUUCGGAUCGUAAAACUCUGUUAUCAGGGAAGAACAAAUGUGUAAGUAACUGUGCACAUCUUGACGGUACCUGAUCAGAA
RNAcentral lists this ribosomal RNA (455 nucleotides) under Stenotrophomonas sp. RNAcentral describes it as "bacterial SSU rRNA". It matches the Rfam family "Bacterial small subunit ribosomal RNA", at positions 51 to 488 of the family's 1533-position model. The record is from RNAcentral. Lineage: Bacteria; Pseudomonadati; Pseudomonadota; Gammaproteobacteria; Lysobacterales; Lysobacteraceae.